This 447-nucleotide ribosomal RNA is filed under the name uncultured bacterium. RNAcentral's name for it is "bacterial SSU rRNA". It matches the Rfam family "Bacterial small subunit ribosomal RNA", at positions 355 to 825 of the family's 1533-position model. The record is from RNAcentral.
UCGGGAAUUUUGGGCAAUGGGCGAAAGCCUGACCCAGCAACGCCGCGUGAAGGAUGAAGUAUUUCGGUAUGUAAACUUCGUAAGAAUAGGAAGAAUAAAUGACGGUACUAUUUGUAAGGUCCGGCUAACUACGUGCCAGCAGCCGCGGUAAUACGUAGGGACCAAGCGUUGUUCGGAUUUACUGGGCGUAAAGGGCGCGUAGGCGGUUUGUCAAGUCAGUUGUGAAAUCUCCGAGCUUAACUCGGAACGGUCAACUGAUACUGUCAAACUAGAGUACAGAAGGGGCAAUCGGAAUUCUUGGUGUAGCGGUGAAAUGCGUAGAUAUCAAGAGGAACACCUGAGGCGAAGGCGGGUUGCUGGGCUGAUACUGACGCUGAAGCGCGAAAGCUAGGGUAGCAAACGGGAUUAGAUACCCAUGUAGUCCCUGAGCGGGCUGGCAAGGCGCAU